RNAcentral lists this ribosomal RNA (253 nucleotides) under uncultured bacterium. RNAcentral describes it as "partial 16S ribosomal RNA". It matches the Rfam family "Bacterial small subunit ribosomal RNA", at positions 524 to 776 of the family's 1533-position model. The record is from RNAcentral.
UACGAAGGGGGCUAGCGUUGCUCGGAACCACUGGGCGUAAAGCGCACGUAGGCGGACUGUUAAGUCGGUGGUGAAAUCCUGGAGCUCAACUCCAGAACUGCCUUUGAUACUGAGGAUCUUGAGUUCGGGAGAGGUGAGUGGAACUGCGAGUGUAGAGGUGAAAUUCGUAGAUAUUCGCAAGAACACCAGUGGCGAAGGCGGCUCACUGGCCCGAUACUGACGCUGAGGCACGAAAGCGUGGGGAGCAAACAGG